UUUGGUUUUCGUAUCCCUCGAUGGAGGUGGAGGAAGAAGCAGCAGCUAUUAGAAGGGGAAGGCGAAAGGGAUCACGGACGAUCGUUUGAUGUCGAUAUGUUAGGAAAGUGGAAAUUGUCGAGCGUCUCGUUUCUUCUCAGAGAUUUGCGUUCAACUGGAGAUGUGUUCUUUAAUUUGCUGCCUCAUCUUCUUCGGCCGUGGUGUCAGCAAAAUCAACAAGGGUCAUCGAUGAAGGCCUUCACAGAUUCGGCGUCAGAGGCAUUGUAGCCAAGCCUACCUCGUCAUCAGGAUGCAUGCAGGUUAAGGCAAAUGCCCAAGCACUUCCUAAGGUCAAUGGUUCAAAGGUCGGUCUGGACGCUGAAUACCAAAUAGUUGAGAUAGAAGGUCCCUCAGCCCCGAGGACCUCCUACAACCAAUUGUCAGACUGAAGCUCUCUUUUUGCUGCCAUAGCUACUAUCUUCUUGGCAGCAGAGAAGCAGUUUGCACUAAUUGACUGGAAGGCCAGGAUGCAGGACAUGCUUGCUGAUUCAUUUUGGCUCAGGAAGAUCAUGCUGGAUGGAAUGGUUUUCAGGCAGAAUUUCUCCAUUAGGUCAUAUGAAAUUGGACAGAUCAAACAGCUUCCAUAGACAUUAAUGAACCAUCAACACUUUGGCUGUAGAUUAUUGCUUGCUUCAUUUAUGUUUUUAUUUUUGAAUUUUGUUUUUCUAACUCCAUUUGAUAUAUGCACUAAUUAGGAAACUGUUCUUAACCAUGCAAGGAGUACUGGGCUCAUGGCUGACUUUGGUUCAGCUCCUGAAAUGAGUAAGAGAAAUUUGAUUUGAGUUGUUACGAAGGUGCAAGUCCUUCCCUCCUGGGAAAGAUGUUGUUCAAGUAGAUACAUGAGUAGCUUCAUUUGGGAAAAAUGGGAUGCGUCCACAUUGGUAUAAUUGUGACUACCAAACUGUUCUGAGAGUGACUAGUUGUGUGGGUGAUGAUGAACAAGAAGAGUAGGAGAUUGCCAAAAAUUCCAGAGGAGGUCAGAACAGACAUAGGAUGCUAUUUUGUGGACCACAACCCUAUCAUAGAUGACGAUGGCAUGACAGAAUUGUUGAAACUGGAGGAUUACACUGCUGAUUACAUUCAAACAGGGUUUACUGUAAUUUCGUUGGAAUGGUUUAGAUGUUGACAACCAACAUGUUAACAAUGCCAAAUACAUCGGAUCGAUUCUUGAGGUUAUUUGUUUCAUUGACAUCAGGAAACCACAAGUAUGAUAUUCAUUUAUUUGCUGGUCGGGGCACAUGGUGUUGGGCCUAUGAAAUAGCGCUGUAGCACCACAUGCUACAUUUUUUUAUUAUUAUCUUCUGUCUCUCAAUUUGAGCACAUUAUGGGCCCUCAUUUCUGUAUCAUUAGCAGCAAAUCUAUUUGGAUGAUCCUCUAUAUUCGCUGAAUAUUCAUCCUGUUGCUUCGAGAUAAUGUUUCCGGUGCCUGCCAAUCAAAUCAUCUGCAUUUAUUGUGGAUGCACGUUUAUA
Zingiber officinale is the source of this 1508-nucleotide RNA transcript. It is a transcript of the gene named palmitoyl-acyl carrier protein thioesterase, chloroplastic-like, with no coding region annotated. The transcript has 5 exons. The record is from RefSeq and is a predicted model, not a curated record. NCBI's taxonomy places the organism in Eukaryota, Viridiplantae, Streptophyta, Magnoliopsida, Zingiberales, Zingiberaceae.